Molecule: ribosomal RNA, 397 nt
Filed under: uncultured bacterium
Lineage: Bacteria
Description: partial 16S ribosomal RNA
Rfam family: Bacterial small subunit ribosomal RNA
Source: RNAcentral
AUACGUAGGGGGCGAGCGUUGUCCGGAAUGAUUGGGCGUAAAGGGCGCGUAGGCGGCCCGGUAAGUCUGGAGUGAAGGUCCUGUUUUUAAGAUGGGAAUUGCUUUGGAUACUGUCGGGCUUGAGUGCAGGAGAGGCAAGUGGAAUUCCCAGUGUAGCGGUGAAAUGCGUAGAGAUUGGGAGGAACACCAGUGGCGAAGGCGACUUACUGGACUGUAACUGACGCUGAGGCGCGAAAGUGUGGGGAGCAAACAGGAUUAGAUACCCUGGUAGUCCACACUGUAAACGAUGAAUACUAGGUGUAGGGGGUAUCGACUCCCUCUGUGCCGCAGUUAACACAAUAAGUAUUCCGCCUGGGGAGUACGGCCGCAAGGUUGAAACUCAAAUGAAUUGACGGGG